UGGGGAAUAUUGGGCAAUGGGCGAAAGCCUGACCCAGCAACGCCGCGUGAAGGAAGAAGGUUUUCGGAUUGUAAACUUCUGUCCUCAGGGAAGAAAAAAAUGACGGUACCUGGGGAGGAAGCCCCGGCUAACUACGUGCCAGCAGCCGCGGUAAUACGUAGGGGGCGAGGGUUGUCCGGAAUGACUGGGCGUAAAGGGAGCGUAGACGGUUUUGUAAGUCUGGAGUGAAAGUCCUGGUUUCAAGGUGGGAAUUGCUUUGGAGACUGGAAGACUUGAGUGCUGAAGAGGUAAGUGGAAUUCCCAGUGUAGCGGUGAAAUGCGUAGAGAUUGGGAAGAACACCAGUGGCGAAGGCGACUUACUGGGCCGUAACUGACGUUGAGGCGCGAAAGCGUGGGGAGCGAACA
Molecule: ribosomal RNA, 405 nt
Filed under: uncultured prokaryote
Description: bacterial SSU rRNA
Rfam family: Bacterial small subunit ribosomal RNA
Source: RNAcentral